RNAcentral lists this ribosomal RNA (301 nucleotides) under uncultured bacterium. RNAcentral describes it as "partial 16S ribosomal RNA". It matches the Rfam family "Bacterial small subunit ribosomal RNA", at positions 509 to 807 of the family's 1533-position model. The record is from RNAcentral.
CAGCAGCCGCGGGAAUACGUAGGGUGCGAGCGUUAAUCGGAAUUACUGGGCGUAAAGCGUGCGCAGGCGGUUGUGUAAGACAGGUGUGAAAUCCCCGGGCUUAACCUGGGAACUGCGCUUGUGACUGCACAGCUAGAGUAUGGCAGAGGGGGGUGGAAUUCCACGCGUAGCAGUGAAAUGCGUAGAGAUGUGGAGGAACACCGAUGGCGAAGGCAGCCCCCUGGGCCAAUACUGACGCUCAUGCACGAAAGCGUGGGGAGCAAACAGGAUUAGAUACCCCCGUAGUCCCUGUCUCUUAUAC